CCUACGGGCGGCAGCAGUAGGGAAUCUUUCACAAUGGGCGAAAGCCUGAUGGAGCAACGCCGCGUGCAGGAUGAAGGCCUUCGGGUUGUAAACUGCUUUUAUAAGCGAGAAAUAUGAUGGCAACUCAUGAAUAAGGAUCGGCUAACUACGUGCCAGCAGCCGCCGUCAUGCGUAGGAUCCGAGCAUUAUCCGGGGUGACUGGGUGUAAAGAGUUGCGUAGGUGGCAUAGUAAGUAGCUAGUGAAAUCUGGUGGCUCAACCAUUCGGACUAUUAGCUAAACGGCUAAGCUCGAGACCGUUAGGGGUAACUGGAAUUUCUAGUGUAGGAGUGAAAUCCGUAGAUAUUAGAAGGAACACCGAUAGCGUAGGCAGGUUACUGGGACGGUUCUGACGCUAAGGCGCGAAAGCGUAGGGAGCAAACGGGAUUAGAUACCCGGGUAGUC
RNAcentral lists this ribosomal RNA (442 nucleotides) under uncultured bacterium. Its description in RNAcentral is "partial 16S ribosomal RNA". It matches the Rfam family "Bacterial small subunit ribosomal RNA", at positions 338 to 795 of the family's 1533-position model. The record is from RNAcentral.